AGUGAACGCUGGCGGUAGGCCUAACACAUGCAAGUCGAACGGCAGCACAGUAAGAGCUUGCUCUUACGGGUGGCGAGUGGCGGACGGGUGAGGAAUACAUCGGAAUCUACUUUUUCGUGGGGGAUAACGUAGGGAAACUUACGCUAAUACCGCAUACGGCCUACGGGUGAAAGCAGGGGAUCUUCGGACCUUGCGCGAUUGAAUGAGCCGAUGUCGGAUUAGCUAGUUGGCGGGGUAAAGGCCCACCAAGGCGACGAUCCGUAGCCGGUCUGAGAGGAUGAUCAGCCACACUGGAACUGAGACACGGUCCAGACUCCUACGGGAGGCAGCAGUGGGGAAUAUUGGACAAUGGGCGCAAGCCUGAUCCAGCCAUACCGCGUGGGUGAAGAAGGCCUUCGGGUUGUAAAGCCCUUUUGUUGGGAAAGAAAAGCAGCAGGUUAAUACCCCGCUGUUCUGACGGUACCCAAAGAAUAAGCACCGGCUAACUUCGUG
RNAcentral lists this ribosomal RNA (492 nucleotides) under uncultured bacterium. RNAcentral describes it as "partial 16S ribosomal RNA". It matches the Rfam family "Bacterial small subunit ribosomal RNA", at positions 29 to 507 of the family's 1533-position model. The record is from RNAcentral.